RNAcentral lists this ribosomal RNA (497 nucleotides) under uncultured bacterium. RNAcentral describes it as "partial 16S ribosomal RNA". It matches the Rfam family "Bacterial small subunit ribosomal RNA", at positions 29 to 523 of the family's 1533-position model. The record is from RNAcentral.
AUUGAACGCUGGCGGCAUGCUUUACACAUGCAAGUCGAACGGUAGAGGGGGCAACCCCUUGAGAGUGGCGAACGGGUGAGUAAUGCAUCGGAACGUGCCCAGUCGUGGGGGAUAACGCAGCGAAAGCUGUGCUAAUACCGCAUACGAUCUCUGGAUGAAAGCGGGGGACCGAAAGGCCUCGCGCGAUUGGAGCGGCCGAUGUCAGAUUAGGUAGUUGGGGGGGGUAAAGGCUCACCAAGCCAACGAUCUGUAGCUGGUCUGAGAGGACGACCAGGCACACUGGGACUGAGACACGGCCCAGACUCCUACGGGAGUCAGCAGUGGGGAAUUUUGGACAAUGGGCGCAAGCCUGAUCCAGCAAUGCCGCGUGCAGGAAGAAGGCCUUCGGGUUGUAAACUGCUUUUGUACGGAACGAAAAGGUCUGGGUUAAUACCCUGGGCACAUGACGGUACCGUAAGAAUAAGCACCGGCUAACUACGUGCCAGCCGCCGCCGUAA